Sycon ciliatum is the source of this 2561-nucleotide long non-coding RNA. RefSeq lists it as uncharacterized. The transcript has 3 exons. The record is from RefSeq and is a predicted model, not a curated record. NCBI's taxonomy places the organism in Eukaryota, Metazoa, Porifera, Calcarea, Leucosolenida, Sycettidae.
UCGUAUAGACCCGGGAGGCGACACGAGGCCUUCCGGGCCGACUAUGAUUGACUCGCGGCACUUUCUCCCACUUUUCCCUCAGAUAUCCCCGGUGCGUGCCCUGAGUUAUAAACCAACUACUCCGCGUACUUAUGCCAUGGGAUCCGGGAGUGCACUCCUUGACUCGUGCAGGAUCGAUACUGAUAUUACUAGUAUUAGUAGUAAGUGAUAGGAUCGUGGGAAAUCGUAGCUCGAAAAGAAGAAGAAGAAUGAACUACUUUUCCAAGUAAUUAGUUGCAUUUGAUGAUCGUGAUGGAGGCAGAGAGUGCUGCUGAUCGCGAUCCAGAUCCGGGUCAAGAAUCACCUCCUGAUCCUAAGGAAACCUCAGCUGACGUAGAUCUACGUUCUCUUCGCGUGAACGCUCAGUCUGUAUUGGCUUGGGCCACAGAGCGUUCCGAAUCCCAGCCGCUAAAGACCCACAGAAGGCAAGAAGCUUGCGUUGCAUAGCUGCUGUCCCGCCUGACUGCAUAGAAAGAAGACUCGUUUAUGGUUGUUCUAUUAUUUUAUUAUUUAUUCUUCUUUUACUAGGGAAUUCCCAACAGGCGUCAGCGCCUUUUUACAGGGAACCCUAGGUAUAAUUUGAUGGAUGAGCGAAAUUCAGCUGGUGAACUAGACAUGCGGCAAGCCGGUGGAAGUGUAUUCCACCUGGCAGCGCCCAAAUAAGAAAUUGCACUAAAGCCAUAUCGGGUGUUAGCGGGGGGCAGAACAAGAGCAGCAGAGACUUGGCCACGGGUGAUGGCUGCAGUGCGAGCACCAUGGGCGCGCAAGGUAAAGCGGUCUCGCAGAAGAGGACUAGCAAGUCCAUUCAGGCAGCGGUAAACAAAUACAUAGGUUUUGAAGUUGAGGCGUUUCUCAAGGGCGUACAAGUUAGUAUGACUGUAUAGAAGAGUGGUGGGAGUCAUUCUAUCCAACGAAAAUAUUCUCUUUAAUGCUACGCGGCUGGCAGUAAGAAGCUUGUCAUAUAGGGUUUGUGAUAAGCAAUGAAUAUAUGCAGUGCUGCCAAACUCAAAUGUGGACUGAAUGAUCGAUAAAUAGAAAAGUCGUUUGCCAAAAAUGCUGAUAUUCUGCUUUGCAUGGACAAAUGCUCCGACCUUCCUAUUGACAGUUGCACAUACUGCAUCCACUUGGGUUGAGAAAGACAGAUGUUCGUCAACCAGUAUUCCUAAGUACCGAGCGUAAGCAGAUGGGGCUAUGGAAGUGCCCCGGCAGUUGACUGCGGUGCCAGGUGGCAGCUCCUUGCCCGGUCGCCUGAGCAGGACAAACUGAGUCUUGGACGGGUUCAACACCAGUCCCUUCUGAUCUAGGUAGCGAUCCAGAGCGGCAAGGUCAGCACUCAGCUGUUCUACAGCCGCUGCUGACGUCCAUCAGCUCUGUCCUGCUCCCAGCUGCAGAUAGGCCUGGAUUUCAAUGAGUCGUGUCCCAACUCCGGUGUGAACGAUUUCCCGACGUCAAUACGAAGUGGGGUCAAGUCAUGGGUGUUGCAAGGAAGCUGUCACAAGAUGAUCCGGUAUUGAACGGCUACAGCACAACCAAGAGAACGAAAUGUACGUCGCAAUCAAGCUAUGUCGUUGCCAUCUUCUAUGUGCCAUGCGUUACCUGAUGUGCCAGCCUGCUAUGUCGGAUGCCGCUAACCAUGCAUCGACUAGGCGCCAGGCGCGAACUGAUGGUGGUGGUGGUGAGAAGGAGAGCUCUGUGCCAGAAUAACUUUGCAGUUUAGAGAGCGUGUCUGGGCAGGCGUGUAUUUACCCCCAUAUUGCCAGGUGUGUAUUUACCACCAUAUGAACCAACCAUACGUGCAGUUGCAGUGGAGUCUUCAACUUCAUUCUCCCGAGUCAAGCUCCUUGUGAAGACAUCUAAGAAGAAGAUUGCCUGAUGAGUCCAGCCGGGACGAGAAGUACGUCGCAAUCAAGCUAUGUUGUUGCUGUGUCAUCUGCUAUGCGCCAUACGCUGCCUGAUGUACCAGCCUGCUAUGUCGGACACCACUCACCCUGCAUCGACUAGGCGCCAGACGCGAACUGAUGAUGGUGGUGGUGGCGGGAAGGAGAGCUCUGUGCCAGAAUAACUUUUCAGUUUAGAGAGCGUGUGUAGGCAGGUGUGUAUUUACCGCCGUAUGAAUCAACCACAGUACGAUCAGCUGACGUUAUAACUUAUAAGGAUGAUCUCGUGCAGCGAUAUUAUGAUAUUUUUUAAGUCUUUUCUAAGGACUCUCCACUGCAGCGUUUUCUUUCCACUCGGUUCUCUUCUUUUCAUCGCUCAGCUUGCACUUGCAAUGCUUAUACAUACUGAUCAAUCCCGUUCAAUUUUCCGUACAUUUUUCUCAAAAGCCAUAGCGCGGACGAAGUAGUGAUUUUCCGUACAAAUAUGGAAAAUACGGAAGGUUGAUAGCACUGUGUUGAGGCAGCUAUUGUUGACUUUAUUUGGAAUUAAUUCUGUUGUAUUUGCACACAUUCCUGAGUGCAUUGUAUUACUAUUAGCAUCCAAUGUGUGUUAUCUGUGCGAGCUUCUAACCUUGUGAACAUUCA